This 402-nucleotide ribosomal RNA is filed under the name uncultured bacterium. RNAcentral describes it as "bacterial SSU rRNA". It matches the Rfam family "Bacterial small subunit ribosomal RNA", at positions 355 to 774 of the family's 1533-position model. The record is from RNAcentral.
UCGGGAAUUUUGGGCAAUGGGCGAAAGCCUGACCCAGCAACGCCGCGUGAGGGAUGAAGUAUUUCGGUAUGUAAACCUCGAAAGAAUGGGAAGAAUAAAUGACGGUACCAUUUAUAAGCUCCGGCUAACUACGUGCCAGCAGCCGCGGUAAUAAGUAGGGAGCAAGCGUUGUCCGGAUUUACUGGGCGGAAAGGGCGCGUAGGCGGCGCGGUAAGUCACUGGUGAAAUCUCUGAGCUUAACUCAGAACGGCCAAGUGAUACUGCUGUGCUAGAGUGCGGAAGAGGCAACCGGAAUUCUUGGUGUAGCGGUGAAAUGCGUAGAUAUCAAGAGGAACACCUGAGGCGAAGGCGGGUUGCUGGGCCGACACUGACGCUGAUGCGCGAAAGCCAGGGGAGCAAACG